Molecule: transfer RNA, 77 nt
Filed under: Arsenophonus endosymbiont of Bemisia tabaci Q2
Lineage: Bacteria; Pseudomonadati; Pseudomonadota; Gammaproteobacteria; Enterobacterales; Morganellaceae
Description: tRNA-Arg
Rfam family: tRNA
About the family: Transfer RNA (tRNA) molecules are approximately 80 nucleotides in length.
Source: RNAcentral
GCGCCCGUAGCUCAGCUGGAUAGAGCGCUGCCCUCCGGAGGCAGAGGUCUCAGGUUCAAAUCCUGUCGGGCGCUCCA